UACGGGGGGGGCAAGCGUUGUUCGGAAUUACUGGGCGUAAAGGGCUCGUAGGCGGCCAACUAAGUCAUACGUGAAAUCCCUCGGCUUAACCGGGGAACUGCGUCUGAUACUGGAUGGCUUGAGUUCGGGAGAGGGAUGCGGAACUAUCGGUGGAGCGGUGAAAUGCGUUGAUAUCGAUAGGAACUCCGGUGGCGAAGGCGGCAUACUGGACCACAUCUGACGCUGAGGCGCGAAAGCCAGGGGAGCAAACGGG
This 253-nucleotide ribosomal RNA is filed under the name uncultured bacterium. Its description in RNAcentral is "partial 16S ribosomal RNA". It matches the Rfam family "Bacterial small subunit ribosomal RNA", at positions 524 to 776 of the family's 1533-position model. The record is from RNAcentral.